This 300-nucleotide unclassified non-coding RNA is filed under the name Hevea brasiliensis (rubber tree). Lineage: Eukaryota; Viridiplantae; Streptophyta; Magnoliopsida; Malpighiales; Euphorbiaceae. The record is from RNAcentral.
UAAGAAUGGAUCUUUUGAAGUGCCGCUGUUUAUGCAUCUUACAGCAUACAUAUAAAGUUUAAGCAAUUUGGAGUUGUUGCAACCAUCUCUUCCGCAUAAGAUCCAUUCUCCCUGGAGUAUAUUCGCUACACCUUCAGGAUAGAACUCUCUAUGCCUAGCAGUUCCGGGAAGCGGUUCACCUUCAUCAUUCUGGUCAGUCUUUUCUCUUUCUUCCCCACUUCCCUUAUCCGGCAAGAGCAUGUCAGUAAAUGCUCCCAUCUCAUGGAGCUUCUUGCAAGCAGCCAAACAAACAGCCUGUUG